UACAGAGGGUGCAAACGUUGCUCGGAAUCAUUGGGCGUAAAGGGUGCGUAGGCGGCGCGGUAAGUCGGGUGUGAAAUCUCGGAGCUUAACUCCGAAACUGCAUUCGAUACUGCCGUGCUUGAGGACUGGAGAGGAGACUGGAAUUUACGGUGUAGCGGUGAAAUGCGUAGAUAUCGUAAGGAAGACCAGUGGCGAAGGCGGGUCUCUGGACAGUUCCUGACGCUGAGGCACGAAGGUCAGGGGAGCAAACGGG
Molecule: ribosomal RNA, 253 nt
Filed under: uncultured bacterium
Lineage: Bacteria
Description: partial 16S ribosomal RNA
Rfam family: Bacterial small subunit ribosomal RNA
Source: RNAcentral